This 504-nucleotide ribosomal RNA is filed under the name uncultured bacterium. Its description in RNAcentral is "partial 16S ribosomal RNA". It matches the Rfam family "Bacterial small subunit ribosomal RNA", at positions 1 to 467 of the family's 1533-position model. The record is from RNAcentral.
GAAUCUACGACGCCCGNUAGUCAUCUAAUGGNGCGUUGNAUNAUGGAUCUCACACUGAGCCGCUCGUUUGUACAGCCUAACACAUGCAAGUCGAACGGCAGCACAGGAGAGCUUGCUCUCUGGGUGGCGAGUGGCGGACGGGUGAGGAAUACAUCGGAAUCUACUCUGUCGUGGGGGAUAACGUAGGGAAACUUACGCUAAUACCGCAUACGACCUACGGGUGAAAGCAGGGGAUCUUCGGACCUUGCGCGAUUGAAUGAGCCGAUGUCGGAUUAGCUAGUUGGCGGGGUAAAGGCCCACCAAGGCGACGAUCCGUAGCUGGUCUGAGAGGAUGAUCAGCCACACUGGAACUGAGACACGGUCCAGACUCCUACGGGAGGCAGCAGUGGGGAAUAUUGGACAAUGGGCGCAAGCCUGAUCCAGCCAUACCGCGUGGGUGAAGAAAGGGGCCCCACCCCUUUUUUUUUCCCNGGGGGGGGGGAGGUGGGGGNGAUUUUUUUUUUU